UUCCUUGUUGUUUUUCUGCUGUUUCUGUCUUGAUUUCCUGCUCCUUCUGCAUUGCAAUGCAUUGUUUUUUUUCCAGUUUUGUUGAUUUUCUUCUCCCUUCUGUUUCUGUUCUUUGAAGGCCUUUUUCCUUUCCUAAGCACAUUCCCUUCUGUUUGCGAGGUUUUCAGGUGAUUUUGCUUUGCUUUCCUUGGCUUUUUAGUACUUUCUUUUUCCUGGUUUUGCUUGGCUUUGGUUUGCUCUUUGGUUUUGCGUUAAUAUCUUGGCCCUGUAUUGCUUUUAAAUUCUUGUUCUUUCUUUCCAUUGCUAUGCAUUGGUGAGCUUUUUUAUCCGUUUCCUUUGCUUGGAUUCUUUGCUUUGCCCUGAUCGUCUAUUGAAUUCACUGGCUUUCCUCUUGUACCUCUCGACCUUGUUUUGCUUUGCUUUGUUUUCCUUCUUUGUUUUGUUUUGCCUCUUUGGUUUUCCUGCAGCGAGCCUUUCUGCUUUGCUUUCCAUUGUCUUUGUUUCCUAUUUGUUGGUUGGUUUUCUUUCCUGCUCCUUUCUUUGCAUGAUCUUGUUCCUUGCUAGAAGCAUUCUUUCACAUUUCAGAUCAUGUUUCUUGGCUGUGCUUUGCAUCCAAUCUCUGCACCGCAACUCUAUGUCAGACUUUAUUUUGGGAUGGAGGAAUGUACAUAGGUCAUAGUCUUGUACAAGAAAAGCUAUUGCGCUGUGCCCAGGAGGUGAUGAAAAAGAGCCCUGAGGAGCCAGGAGCACAAAGGUAGCGUGUUUGUGCGAAGGCCGCAGCGUAAGCACAUGUGAACCUUGAAGGGCUGCUUUGUGCCUCUCCAGGAACUGCUUUUGGGUGGGGGAUUUUCUGGAGUUGUUUCCAGUUGUUGCUCGGAGGAGCUGAGGCUUUUCUCCUUGUAUCUUUGCAGGAAAGCAGAGCGCAGGGAGCGUCUGUGGUGAGAUGCUCAGGUGAAAUUGCCUUCCCUGCACCAGCAGCCCGUUUGUGUCCACGUUGUGUCUCCAUGGUGAGGAGAAGCCUGCAGUUCUUGUGACAUACCUGGCCCGUCAGAUAAUUCAGCAGGGAGUGGUGCCUUCUUGCAAAGCUGUGGCAGUGACCACGGCCAGCCCCUGAAGCCCCAGUCAUCAAGACCCCGUACAUCAUGUCCAACGCCAUCUGUCUGCACUGCCCAUGGCUGUGAUGUGUGCCGCUACCUCCUGUCCCCCCCAACUGCCAGGCAUGCAAGCUUCCUCCUGCUCCACCAGCUCUCCACUGGCUCCGACACCUUUGCCACCUCCCGUGUCGUGUGGUGGAAAUGCGUGGUGCUGGGGCAGGCCCAAACUCCCACCCUGACAGCAGGCACAUUUCCAAAAGCUCUGCUCACUUCCUCAUCCUGCUGGCUCGUGAGAAGAUCCUGUUGUCAGCUCUGCCAACCAGCACAGCAGAGGUGGGAUAGUUACGGGCAGCAUGGAAAACAGCAGGGGAAUAACCGUUUCCCCCUUUGGCUGUUAUUUGUUGAGAAAUGCCGUCUGGGAAGUGUAGAGUCAGGGCCUGAACCACUGAUGGAGCAUCUGGGGAAAGGAUCCAGCCAGCCCUGGGAGCACAGGUGAGGGCAGUUCAGUUGUAUGAUGGAAUGAGGGGAGCCUGGCUGCACCUCUCCUAGACCUCAUUGAAGGGCUGACUCUGCGUGGGCAAGGAUCUCUGGUUGGAGAUCCCUCCCUUGUGGAGUUUUCCCUGUGAGCCUGGAUCUUCAGAGACAGGUGAGCGCUUUCCUUUGUCUUUGUAACACCUUUCUGUUGUGCUAGUCCCUUUGUGGUUACACCUCCUUCCACUGCACUGAUCGUUCUGAUUGUUACAGAUGUCCUCUGCCCCUUCCCACCUGUAAAGCAAACUUGCUUGUACAGCAAGCCACCUGUAGAGGCGAUGACAGAGCCUUUAUUUGAGAUAGAGGAGCUAUAGAACAGGAUAUCAAAGAAAGAGGAAUCGACUCAUCCCUCCCAGCAACAGUUUUGAAGAAAGUGGUGAGCUGAGGAAUGCAGCCUUCUGUGUUUGAACUAUGGUGUGCUGAAAGGUGAGAGGGGGCUGAGGGGCUGGGGGGGAGACCUGUGCAGACUGACUGUACGUGUGCUGCUGGGAGCACUGCUGAGAUGGAGAGAGAGGAAGGCUCCCCCGCUCGAGGUACUCAUGUGCUCACGCAGUGGUUCAGGCUGUGACCUGGCAGUUCCACUGCACCACCCAUCCUGCACUGUCCAUGUGCCACCUGCAGGUGUUGCCCAGCUUUUGGGGGACUCGCUGUGACCUCCCUGUCUCACCUCUGUCUCACCUAGUCUAACCCUUAGAGCAGCAUAGAGUGACCCAUGCUACCUGGGGAUAAGUCUUUUUUUCUGCUUUCUAUCCCAAGUCCUUUCCUUUCCAUGGAAACAGUAGAAGUGUUCCUUCAGAGCUGAUUUACCCCUGCUGUGUUUCUUUUCACUUUUUGUGGAUGAGCAAGUGCCCCUUUAGGGAUGAGCAUCUCUUUGCUCCUUCCAUUCUACAGCUUAUUGCAGGGUGCCCAGGACACCCCACAGUUGUGGGGAGCAGCUGGCACAAGAGAAGUAAGUCCAAAGGCUGCAGCAAAGAUUUUGGGUCAUUUGCAGUGGCUCAGUGGGAGCUUGCAGAGGCAAAAAGCAGCUGGAGAUGUGCUCUGCAGUUCUGUGCUGGUUUGCAGAUUCCUCAGGAGUGGUCCUGGGUCACCUGGCUUCCACCAAGAGCGCUCCUCUUCUCUCCACAGAUCACAUCUCAGGUGCUGUCUGUCUGUCUGUGGUAGGUACCAGAGCAAGGAGGCCUCUCUGUGCCAUUGUUGCAGUGAUUUCAGUCUGUGGCACCCACAUUUGGACGCAUGGAUGCUCCAUCUGGAUGUUAAUUUUCAGGGGGAUCAAAGCUUUUUGGAAUAUGGGCUUCUCUUUCCAUAUUAUAUGCAUUUUGUGCAGUUGAGUCUUGCAGUAUCUUUAUAAUUCACUCUUCUGCCAUAAGGUGGGAUGGUGUAAUGUCCUGUUCUUCAGACGAACCGAGAGUGCUGCCCAUAUGGUGAAUGAGACAAGGGAUUCACUGCUUCUGACUGAUAAGAAUCCUGGGCAACAGUUAGUAGGCCAGUAUUUUCUGAGAUAGAAUUUAUUAUCAUGCAUUUGGUAAUGUUUCUGUUAACACCAGAACACUCUGGGGUGUGUUUUCAAACCAGGGUUUCCCGUCCUGCUAACAAACAGUGGGGUUUGUGCACGUACCUCCAUGGGCUCACGUGGAAACAGACGUCAAGCAUCAGAAGAUUCCUGGGUGCAUGUUUAAGGCUUACUGCGUU
This is a long non-coding RNA of Tympanuchus pallidicinctus (lesser prairie-chicken), 3314 nucleotides long. RefSeq lists it as uncharacterized. Lineage: Eukaryota; Metazoa; Chordata; Aves; Galliformes; Phasianidae. The record is from RefSeq and is a predicted model, not a curated record. The transcript has 3 exons.